GGGUGAGAAUCGGUUGGCAACAUUCAAGAAACAACUUGAAGAAGAUAAAAAAAUCGUGACUUGACGUAGUAAUUUAAGUAUACUACAGAAGGCUCGAUAUUUCUUCCAGCAGUUGAUUGCAUUGCAGGAGUUAGUUACUACCACGACAUGUCAAAUCUACUUCAUUCGAGGACUCAUUCAAUGGUAGGAACUCCAGCCUAUAUUGCACCAUAGAUCAUUUCUGGGAAAGAUUAUGAUGGAAAGUUGAGAGAUGUAUGGUCCUGUGGAGUAAUUCUUUAUACAAUGGUUGUAGGAACAUUUCCAUUUGAGGACAAAAGUGAUGGUCAAAAUCUCAGAAAAAUGGUUCAGAGAGUUUCGACUGUUUAAUACGAGUUCCCCGACAAUGUUUUAAGCAAAGACAGCAAAAAUCUGAUAUCUCGUAUUUUUGUGGCAAAUCCAUCAAAGAGAAUCACCAUGAAGGAAAUCAAGUCACAUCCAUGGUUUUUGAAGAACUUGCCUGAGGAGUUAACAAAAGGGGCUCACUAUGUCCACCACAAUGAAG
Vigna radiata var. radiata (mung bean) is the source of this 541-nucleotide long non-coding RNA. RefSeq lists it as uncharacterized. The record is from RefSeq and is a predicted model, not a curated record. Lineage: Eukaryota; Viridiplantae; Streptophyta; Magnoliopsida; Fabales; Fabaceae. The transcript is spliced from 6 exons.